RNAcentral lists this long non-coding RNA (618 nucleotides) under Balaenoptera musculus (blue whale). RNAcentral describes it as "lncRNA (ENSBMSG00010012773.1)". The record is from RNAcentral. Lineage: Eukaryota; Metazoa; Chordata; Mammalia; Artiodactyla; Balaenopteridae.
AGACUAUCGCAUGCUGACUCCUUGUCUAGAAUAUGCGUGGAAAGACACAAACCACUCUGCCCCCUUCCUCCUGAAAUCUCUUCCAAAUAUAGUGCUGGCGAGGACAUUCAGUAAUUUAUUGGGAGUCUUGACGCACAGACUACAAAGACUCUAGGUGGAUUGAGCCCAUACACAUAUGAUAUAAAUAAAUAAAUGAUGGAAUAAAUUAAUAAGAGGGGGAGAAGAGACAGAUCUCAAGGCUUGAUCCUGAGGCCAGAUGUACCACUGUGGUACUGCUGAUUGUGAGGAGCUCCAGGGAGUGGUGUAUCCUUGAACAUUUUAUCCUGGGUGUCCGAUAGGUGGAGGUUCUGAAGACUAGAACGUCAGCAAGGAUAUACAGUGCUCGGCCAUCGCAUAAGACGCCUGGGGAGAGAAUGGUGCCAAUUUGCAGAAAAUAGGAAAAAGAGGGUGUUCGGAUUCCUCCCCACAAUGACUGAGUCCACCUUUGGAGACACCCUUCUUUGGGUGAAGUAUCACCUUCCCAGCCUUUCUACCGAGGGCCCAGACGACAGCGGGUCCUACCAGCCCGACCAGACCACAUGGACAGGACAGCAGGGCAUAAAGGAGCUGAGGAGGUGA